CCUAUCUGGGCAGGCACCGUAGCAAGAUGCUGAUGGGGUACAAAAUGAGAACUGCCCACCAGGAGCAGACGAAGAACACUAUGGCAGCAGUGGGGAUGGGCUGCUGACCGCGACUGUCUACUCCAAGGCUGCAGGACAAGCCUUGGAGUCUCUGACCUCCAUCAAAGCAGACACAGAGCAGUGCUGAGCAAACACCUCAGCUAACAGAGUUAUCAGUUCCUGACCUGGGAGGCCCUGUUGGGAAAACAAAAGAAGGAAUAGCGGUGACACACUCAUGAAUCACGCUUGGCAUCCAAGAGGAACAACAGGAACUUAUAGCAUUCACAGUUUGGGUUGUACUGGCUGGAAGGGGCACCAGUCUACCAGAGAAAAAUAGAAGCUGGCUGAUUCUAUCACUCUGAAGAACCUACUGGGAAGAUUUCACUGGAGGCAUCAGAUUCGACUUCAUAUGGCUGUGUUACAGAAUGAUGUCAAGAUAAUUAAAUCACUCUCCAGAACAGGAUCUGUUUGAAAUUUCCUAGUGAAACAUCUCAAGUGUGUUGCUCCAGAACAUGGUAAGCCUUUUCCAGGAGGAAGAAAUUUGCAUUCUCCUGAGGACAGAGACGUGUCCACUUUCUUCUGUGAUGGUGAGCUAAUCACCACCAGAAAAUGGAAGAGCAAAUUAAAGCAGAGUUCUUUACAUCUCUCUCGUUGCUCUAGCUCUGCGUUUCUCAAUGAAGUUGUCCAAAGCCAGUAGAUCCUAAGAGCUCCGGUGAUGUGCUGUGAACCCCUCACACCUUAUAGGAAAAGGAUUUGGAGAACUUUUCCCUCCUCAAGGAGUAUGGUAUAGCCCAGCUGUGCUUCCCAGGCUUGUUAAUAGAUCUGUUUUAUUGUCUUCUGUUCCACUGCCAGAGAAUUUUUUCAGGCAAUCUAUAGUGAUUGAUUCUAGGGAAACAAAACACCAUUUCCUUCUGUUUUCAGUCUGGAGUCACGUUGUAGCUCACUCAACAGAGGCACAAAGCAGCCAGUCAGGUUUUUUUCUCAGCAGUUCCAGAAUUCCUGCACUUGUCAACAAACAGCUGUACAAAAUUAACUGAAAUAACUUCCAGUUUUGGUCUUCACGCCUGAAAAUGAUGGUUCUGAGGCUGAUAGAAAUGGCCUGUCUUCCUUCUGGAUUUGUUAUGGAACAAAAAAGCUAUGCCUCAGACAGUGGGGUUUGUGUAACUUGAGUUUCGUCUUGUUUUUCUUGAUGUAAGGUGCUCCAGUGCUACCUGGAAUUAUUUUUUUUUUCUUUUUGUGAUUCUAACUGCUGGUCACAAAUAACAGAACUUGUCAUUGAGUAUUCGAUACAUCAUUUGCACUUUGGCUUAUUUUUCCUUGCAAGUUAACAUUUAUGCUUUCAGCUAUCAGAAUAUCCUGGAGAACAUGAAUAUUCUUCUCUCCUUCUGCAAACUGUAUAGAAAGCCACUGUAUUUUGUCACUAAUGGGAGCUGAUAUAAAAAUAUUUGCAAUGACAACAUACUGCUCUUAUUCAUACAUGCCAGGUGUGUUCUGCUAGGUACUAAAAUGAAAAAUUGAGGUGAUGGCUGCAAGAGCUGCACACUGUCUGCUAAGCAACCUCUUCCUUCGAAAGCUUUACUCUUCAAUUUGUUAUAACUCGUGGUGAGGUGCCACUCUGGGAGAGCUAGAAUGCAGAAAAUGGCUCAGUCAGUAGAAUGUAGUCUUAAAAAUAAACAAAUUCACUAAAAUCUCAUUCCAUAGAUAUUGCAAAAUAUGGCAUUCCAGAGUCUUUCCUGUCUUCAUGCUGUGAUGUGAACACCUGAUUAUACCAUCGCUGUGUAAAUACGAUUUCUGUUUCACAGUUGGACAGAGAUACAGUAAGAGGCUAUAGCCAAAGAAAAGAGAGUUUGAAGAUGGCUUUCUAGUUAGCUUGACAUCAUUGUUAUCCUCUCUAAGUCUCUGGAGGGGGUUCUGCUCUGCUUUUGCGGUGGAAAGUCUCUGAUGCCCAAUAAGGGCUGAUGUACUGACUUGCGAAGCACUACAUGGUAUUUGCUAAUCAAGACAAUAGCUAUAAUAGGCUGUUAUGCAAAAUUAUGGCAAUGCCUUCUCCGUCCUCUAAGACAGAGGAUUUGGGCGUAUUGGGAAGUUAGACAGCAUGGAUGUACUGCUCUUCCUAGAAAUACAGUUCCUCUUGAGGGUCUCUGAAAAUGACAUUCAUUCAGCUCUCUUCCCGUCUGCAUUCUCCAUUUGUUGUGGAGAAAAGGUAAGAUGAGUAAGGGCUGGAAAAUGCUGCUAGGACAAAUAAGCAGAAUAGAGAAGAAGUGGUGAUGGAGCAGCAUGGCUGAAGUAAGAAACAUUGAGGUUGGAGUGGCUUCCUGGGGAGAAAUGAGAAUUUGUGAAAGAUUUAUUCCAUAGUGAAGCACAUCCACAUCCCAAAACAUGGUCAUCCACAAGGCAUGUGAGACCUUGUAGCCUCACAAGCUAAAACUAUGCUGAGCUCUCUUCUGUCAGGGUUAGAUUGCUGUCUGUUACAACUAAAAAACCAGCCAAAGUGUAUUCAUCCUUUCAUCCUGUAUGCAGCCAAGUUCCAACAGUUCAUCUAUUCUCAGAGAAACCACCACAACUCCAUCCACUGGUCCUUGGACAUAUGAGUGACAUCCAUCUAUUAGUCAGGUACAUCUAUAUAAGACUAUUCAAUAUUAUUAGUGCCAUAUUACAUACUAUGAAUUACACUGAUGUUAUUGCAAGUGAUCACUAAUUAUUUUCAGAUCUUAGGUGAACAUACAUCUUAAGUGAAAUCAUUUUCACAUUUCUUCCUGUUACCUCAUAGUCUCAGGCUGUUACAGCUGAGUGAAUGCAGACGAUACACUGAAAUAGUAACUGAAUUUCCCACUCCCUGUUCAUUGUGUAUGUGCUUCAGGUAAUAUUGCUUUGGAAUAAAAAAGCAUGAAUGUCUUUAUUUUGAAUUAAUUGUAUUAGGUCAUUAAGAAUCACUUAGCAUGCCAAAUCCAAAGAGUAUUUGAUACACCAUAAUGUCACUCACAUAGUCACAGCAAGGGCUUGCUUGAUGAAUAUCAUGUCUUCAUGGAACAAGAGGAGUAAUGAGGGUUAGCGUGGGUCAAUUUUAUCCUAAAUAGUUGACUUAGAUUAUUUGUUAAGUUCAUUUUCCUUUAACAGAAGAAAUAUAAAUCUCCAAAGAAUGAGAAAUGGGAGUGGCGUACUGUGUUUUCAGAGUAGUUUUAAUUCUAUGGGAAGAUCAGCCCUAUUAUUUGCAGUGCAGCACAUGUUCUGAUGUAUUUUGUGAAGGGUUUAACCCUUCAAUAUUUCUCUCCUUUUUUGGUUAAGAUCCCUGUUGCUCCCUUUUCAAAUGAAUAAAAGGAAAAAAAUGCCCUUGAUCCGAAUGUUUUUCUUUUAAUAACCAUGCUGUCAUAAUGCAAUACAAAAUCAGUAUUGCACUAGAUAAAAUGAAACAUUGCCAUAUUCCCUUUGUGGAAUAUUGAAAUACUUUGAUGUUCUGAGAGGUUUUAUCCUUUGAGUUUUGUACCUGACAAUUUUUUGGCAGAAUUAGUGGGAUUUUCCCAAAGUGCCCUGACUAAGGCAGCGUCGGUUCACAGACUGUGGUUCCACUAAGGACUUUCUUACCGGCUGCGUGUUUUUGGCUGGGUGCGGGCAGCUGACCUUUGGGUGAACUUCAUGUAAUUUGCUUUUCCUAUUUGUUAAUGAUUUGAGAUUUUGUAAAGGAAUUGUGUGGCAGCAGAACAGGAGAUGAACAAUAAUGUAUGUCCUCAUUAAAGCUUCAGUAUUUCUUUCUCAUCGGAUUUCUCUCUGAGUGGGAAGAACUAAGCCCUUGUUCACCGGUUACUGGAACCAGAAGUGUCCUUCUGAAGCCACCAAGUGCCUACAGCAUUUCUGGAUUUGCUUCUGGUGAAAGGAUUACACGGUGGCAUUGUUUGGAGUUUAGCACAGUAGCUAGCAAGCAUGCAUUUGGGGUUUUUUUUCUGUUUUCCCUGAUAUAGCUUUUUCCCCCUUCCAGUUUGACAGAAAGUUCCUUGCUGAAAUACUGGCCAAACAGCCUAGGAAAAAACAGAGAUCUUUUCUAUCAGUUUGCAGCCCAGUACACUCCCACACCUUUCUUUUCCCAUUGAAAAUUUCCCAUCAUAAUUUUGUUGCUACCUUUGAAAUUUCUUAUGUAAAUCAGACUAAAAGGAUUUUAGAAUAUUAUAUGAAGCUUCUGGCACUUCUGCUUUUUUUCCGCCACUUUUGGAGACUCAGUAUAUUUGCUGACUUCUUUGGUGGUUUUUAAUUUAACAUCCUUUUGGGUUUGUUUACUCUUGUUUG
Long non-coding RNA from Cuculus canorus (common cuckoo), 4317 nucleotides. RefSeq lists it as uncharacterized. The record is from RefSeq and is a predicted model, not a curated record. The transcript is spliced from 8 exons. Lineage: Eukaryota; Metazoa; Chordata; Aves; Cuculiformes; Cuculidae.